GUGCUCGCUUUGGCAGCACAUAUACUAAAAUUGGAACGAUACAGAGAAGAUUGGCAUGGACCCUGCACAAGGAUGACAUGCACAUUCGUGAAGUGUUCCAUAUUUUU
Molecule: small nuclear RNA, 107 nt
Organism: Callithrix jacchus (white-tufted-ear marmoset)
Lineage: Eukaryota; Metazoa; Chordata; Mammalia; Primates; Cebidae
Source: Ensembl